RNAcentral lists this ribosomal RNA (207 nucleotides) under uncultured bacterium. RNAcentral describes it as "partial 16S ribosomal RNA". It matches the Rfam family "Bacterial small subunit ribosomal RNA", at positions 568 to 774 of the family's 1533-position model. The record is from RNAcentral.
CGCGUAGGCGGCCCGCUAAGUCGAACGUGAAAUCCCCGAGCUCAACUCGGGAACUGCGUCCGAGACUGGCGGGCUUGAAUCCGGGAGAGGGAUGCGGAAUUCCAGGUGUAGCGGUGAAAUGCGUAGAUAUCUGGAGGAACACCGGUGGCGAAGGCGGCAUCCUGGACCGGUAUUGACGCUGAGGCGCGAAAGCUAGGGGAGCAAACG